GGUUGCGAUCAUACCAGCACUAAUGCACCGGAUCCCAUCAGAACUCCGCAGUUAAGUGUGCUUGGGCGAGAGUAGUACUAGGAUGGGUGACCCCCUGGGAAGUCCUCGUGUUGCAACCCC
Molecule: ribosomal RNA, 120 nt
Filed under: Helianthus annuus (common sunflower)
Lineage: Eukaryota; Viridiplantae; Streptophyta; Magnoliopsida; Asterales; Asteraceae
Also listed under: 1 other name
Source: RNAcentral